AUGUGUAGGAUAGCUGGGAGACUAUGAAGCAUGCUCGCUAGGGUGUGUGGAGUCACCGUUGAAAUACCAGCCUUUAGUUACUUGAUGUCUAACUCGCAAGAGGACAGUGUGUGGUGGGUAGUUUGACUGGGGUGGUCGCCUCCAAAAGAGUAACGGAGGCUUUCAAAGGUACCCUCAGCACGCUUGGUAACCGUGCGUAGAGUGCAAUGGCAUAAGGGAGCUUGACUGUGAGACCGACAAGUCGAUCAGGUAGGAAACUAGGACAUAGUGAUCCGGUGGUUCCGUAUGGAAGGGCCAUCGCUCAAAGGAUAAAAGGUACUCCGGGGAUAACAGGCUGAUC
RNAcentral lists this ribosomal RNA (340 nucleotides) under Scrippsiella trochoidea. Its description in RNAcentral is "partial Bacterial large subunit ribosomal RNA". It matches the Rfam family "Bacterial large subunit ribosomal RNA", at positions 2134 to 2487 of the family's 2925-position model. The record is from RNAcentral. Lineage: Eukaryota; Dinophyceae; Peridiniales; Peridiniaceae.